RNAcentral lists this long non-coding RNA (293 nucleotides) under Ananas comosus (pineapple). RNAcentral describes it as "long non-coding RNA (ACOM_LNC036482)". The record is from RNAcentral. Lineage: Eukaryota; Viridiplantae; Streptophyta; Magnoliopsida; Poales; Bromeliaceae.
CGCCCCGCGACCAACCGCCAAUUUGGACCGGGUCGCGGCGCCGUCGACAGACCACCGAACGGACCGGGAAUUGCCCUGUACGCGGACAGAGUCUCCCCAGUACGUCCAAGGCGUCGCAAUCCAAACAAUCAACGAAUGUUCCAAUAAGGAACGGAUAUCAAUCCAGAUUGCAUAAGGAAGUAUCAAAUACAUAAUCUACUUGCUAUUACAAGCAUUCAUUUCACCACCACGUUUACAUCACAGUUUCAGUUUACAUUUUUACUUCUAAAUUACAAUCUCACUAUUACAUCAGA